CCCUUAGAUGUUCUGGGCCGCACGCGCGCUACACUGAUGCAUUCAACGAGUCUAAAACCUGCUCUGAUAGGGGUGGGUAAUCUUUUGAAUGUGCAUCGUGAUUGGGAUAGAUGAUUGCAAUUUUUCAUCUUCAACGAGGAAUGCCUAGUAAACGCAAGUCAUCAGCUUGCAUUGAUUACGUCCCUGCCCUUGUACACACCGCCCGUCGCUCCUACCGAUUGAAUGAUCCGAUGAAUAUCAUGGAUUGAGGAUGCAAGUAGGUUCGCCUAUCUUCAUCUUCGAGAAGUGAAGUAAAUCUUAUCAUUUAGAGGAAGGAGAAGUCGUAACA
RNAcentral lists this ribosomal RNA (328 nucleotides) under uncultured eukaryote. RNAcentral describes it as "partial 18S ribosomal RNA". It matches the Rfam family "Eukaryotic small subunit ribosomal RNA", at positions 1470 to 1796 of the family's 1831-position model. The record is from RNAcentral.